UCUCGAACUUGCAAGGAUCCUCCUGCCUCAGCCUCCUAUUACAGACGUGCACCAUCACACCCAGCAAGGAAUCGUUUGCAAAUGCAGAUUCUUAUCCACUGGGUCUGACCGGGCCCGAUUGUGCUGCUGUGACCCUGUGCUGCUGUCUAAGGGCAGGGCUGAUGCUGCCCUCAGAACCACAGGCUGUGCAGGCGCUUGCCAGGUGGAGCUGCUGGCGACCCGCCCGCCUCUCCCCUGUGUCCACGACUGCCAGCUUCCAGGAGACUGAGACUGACUUGGUAUGGGCGUCACACCCAAAGAAAGCUACGGCCGGACAGAAGGUGGCUGCAAACACACACUUCAAGGCAGUUUCGGUGCAAGCAGUUGCUACAGGCCCUAGAGGCAGGGCCUCUGGCUGCCCUCCCCGCUUUGGCUUGGGCUACUGCGAGCCUGGGCUCCUCCCGGUCUCCGGGAGCCGGGUCUCCUCGCCAGGCCCUCCUGGGCCACAAGGCUGGUUUUGUUUGUAUGUAUGUUUGUCGUUGUUUGGCUUUUAUUUUUUGGAUGUGAUUAAAAAACCUUAAUAAGACCUAC
This is a long non-coding RNA of Chinchilla lanigera (long-tailed chinchilla), 570 nucleotides long. RefSeq lists it as uncharacterized. The record is from RefSeq and is a predicted model, not a curated record. The transcript has 2 exons. Lineage: Eukaryota; Metazoa; Chordata; Mammalia; Rodentia; Chinchillidae.